Molecule: transfer RNA, 73 nt
Filed under: Stenocercus limitaris
Lineage: Eukaryota; Metazoa; Chordata; Lepidosauria; Squamata; Tropiduridae
Description: tRNA-Tyr
Source: RNAcentral
UCUGGUAAAAAGGAGAUUCAAACUCCCAUAAACAAAUUUACAGUCCACCGCCUAAUCCUCGGCCACUUUACCU